This 1506-nucleotide ribosomal RNA is filed under the name Triticum aestivum (bread wheat). RNAcentral describes it as "partial small subunit ribosomal RNA". The record is from RNAcentral. Lineage: Eukaryota; Viridiplantae; Streptophyta; Magnoliopsida; Poales; Poaceae.
AUUGCGAUGGAACACGUUGAGAAUCUUGUUGAGGGUAACAAUGGAACUCCUGUGAGGAGUAAGAGACAGAGGACUACAAAGUCUUUUGGUGAUGAUUUCAUUGUGUACCUCGUGGAUGACACACGCAGGACUAUUUCAGAAGCCUAUGCAUCUCCUGAUGCUGACUACUGGAAGGAAGCAGUACGUAGCGAGAUGGAUUCCAUCUUAGCUAACGGUACCUGGGAGAUCACUGACCGUCCUUAUGGGUGCAAACCUGUAGGAUGUAAGUGGGUGUUCAAGAAGAAGCUUAGACCUGAUGGUACGAUUGAAAAGUAUAAGGCACGGCUUGUGGUCAAGGGUUAUACCCAGAAAGAAGGUGAAGACUUCUUUGAUACUUACUCACCCGUGGCUAGACUGACCACAAUUCGGGUGCUACUAUCACUGGCUGCCUCACAUGGUCUUCUCGUUCAUCAAAUGGACGUUAAGACAGCUUUCCUCAAUGGAGAGUUGAAGGAGGAAAUUUACAUGGAUCAGCCAGAUGGUUUUGUAGUACCUGGUCAGGAAGGAAAGGUGUGCAAGUUAUUAAAGUCUUUAUAUGGCCUUAAACAAGCUCCUAAGGAGUGGCAUGAGAAGUUCGAAAGAACAUUAACUGCUGCCGGCUUUGUAGUAAACGAUAGUGACAAGUGCGUGUACUAUCGCUAUGGUGGGGGCGAAGGAGUUAUUCUUUGUCUGUAUGUCGACGACAUAUUGAUCUUUGGAACCAAACUUGAUUUAAUAAAGGAGGUUAAGGAUUUCUUAUCUCUCUGUUUUGAGAUGAAGGAUCUAGGAGUAGCUGAUGUUAUCUUAAACAUCAAGCUGUUGAGAGAUGAGAAUGGUGGGAUCACACUGCUUCAGUCUCAUUAUGUGGAAAAGGUCUUGAGUCGUUUUGGGUAUAGCGACUGCACGCCUUCUCCAACUCCAUAUGAUGCUAGUGUUGCCACGAGACCUGACAUCUGUUUUGCUGUGAGCAAGCUGAGUCGGUUUGUGUCAAAACUGGGAGAUGAUCAUUGGCAUGCGCUUGAGAGAGUUAUGCGCUAUUUGAAAGGCACCGCGAGCUAUGGGAUUCACUACACCGGGUAUCCAAGGGUACUAGAGGGUUAUAGUGACUCAAACUGGAUAUCUGAUGCUGAUGACAUUAAGGCCACAAGUGGUUAUGUUUUUACACUUGGUGGUGACACUACCACUAUUGAAGCAGAGUGGCUUCGUGAACUCUUGAUGGACUUACCUAUGGCUGAAAAACCAAUACCCCCUAUCCUGAUGAUCUGUGAUAAUCAAACUGUGAUCGUCAAGAUAAACAGUACUAGGGACAAAAUAAAGUCCUCAAGGCAUGUGAAGAGGAGACUAAAAUCUGUCAAAAAAUUGAGGAACUCCGGAGUUAUUACGUUGGAUUAUAUCCAAACGUCGAAAAACUUGGCAGAUCCCUUCACAAAGGGUCUAUCACGUAAUGUGAUAGAUAAUGCAUCGAUGGAGAUGGGUUUGAGACCCACC